This is a long non-coding RNA of Raphanus sativus (radish), 1366 nucleotides long. RefSeq lists it as uncharacterized. The transcript has 3 exons. The record is from RefSeq and is a predicted model, not a curated record. NCBI's taxonomy places the organism in Eukaryota, Viridiplantae, Streptophyta, Magnoliopsida, Brassicales, Brassicaceae.
UGAAUUGGUUGACAUCUGUCGUCGGAUGCGGUUACAUUAUUUAGUGUAAAAUAUUAUUUAUCAAAUUUAAACACAUAACUAUUCUUUACAUAUUUCUUGCACGCCGGGGACAUAAAAGAAAAGAUUAUUUUGUGACACAAAAUAUUUGUUUUUUAAUAUCCCAAAAUUUGUUACAGUUAUUUUGUUUUAUAAUAUCCUAAUUAUAUAACGUAUUUAUGAAAGAUAACUUAUGUCUUUUAACUAUCUUAUAUAUAAAAUAGACUUUUCUGGCAUUUCCUUAAGCCACGUCAUCAUGGAGCAUGGGGCAAUUCAUGACAGCUGUCCUAUCCUUUUUACGUGAUCAGUGUAUCUCUGUUCUAAUUAAAAUUUUUGGGCUACUAAUUUUCUUUGUUUUGUGGACUCUUACUAGCUGGCCCAUCUCCUAUAGGGUUUCUAGCUCCUGCAAAUUGGAUUUGGCUUAUCCUCCCUCGCCCUUCGUCUCCUUCAAACUCAGAGGAGAGCCUCUGUAACGUCGUCCGUUUCUUCCUUGAGUCUCUUCAUUUAUUACUUACCACUACUCAUCCCACUUAUCGCCACUAUAAAACGGUCCCUUCUCUGCGAUGAAUAGCCACGGUUAUACAGGAUCCUUAAUAUGCUUUUCCUGGAUGAGAAGAUUGGUUUUCUGACUGGUGCUUGAAGAUAGAGCUAUGGUGUAUUGAAUUCUCUUUAUGCAAGAUUUACUCUCCUAAAAGGAUGAUAGCAGACAAAGAUCAUGUGGUUGGAAACUCGGUAGAGAGUUGCAAAGAUGAGUCUAAGCCUCAAAACUGUCCUGAGUAGAAGUGGGAAGAUGCAGAGCCAAGGUCUCGGAAAAUAGGAACAAAAUGACAAUGUCUGUGAGUUGUUCUAUGAUACAAGAACCAGUGAGGACUUGGCAAAAUAAAUGAUGGAAACCAUUCUUGUGGAGAUUCUGAUUGAGACUGGAAAGAGUACAAUUUUGUAACAUCAAUGCUAAUUAGUUGUUCUCGUGAUAUAGAUUUCUGGCGUUUUAUAUGGACAUUUACUUCAUAUGUUACUGCAUAUGUGACUUUUCUGAGACUGUAAUUUGUUACAAAGAGAACAUUUACCAUGUUGUGAAUUACAUAUGUGUCGAUGAGGGUGUGACAUUCCAUGAAUAUUCUGUGUACUGUGCCUUUUUGGGAUUUUUGUAAUAUAAAGUUAAUAUAUUCUUUGAUUAUUUUAUUUCAUUUAAUUAUGUAAUCUAUAUAUGUAUAAAAGUUUCCGAUGUUACUAUGUAACAAAAACUGAGAAGGGAACGUUUGAUGAGAUAUAUGCGAAAGUUCAUCUUCAUUUCUAGAUUAUUAAUGGUUACAUCAUAUUUACGUUUUUC